CUGGGAUAUGAGAAGCCGAGGAAAGCGUGUUCCCAAAGCUAUUUGUGACCACCCCUUCCUCUUCUCCCUAACAAGGAAACCCUGCCUGUGACGAGCUGUACAAGGCCUGGCUCAGCGGCUGGCGGGACAGCAACUGGAGACUUAGGAAGAAAAACAACUUCUAAACGUGGUGUUCGUGCAAGAAAGUAUCAGAAAGUGGAAAAUCUCUGAUCCACGCCAUCUGUUUGUCUCAUCCAGUGGUGCAUUCCAAUCUCUGCAACAGAAGAUUCAUGACAACCUGCCAAUAAAAUUCCUGAGAUUGUCAAAACGCAGAAUACUUCUGAAAAAGUUUAAGAUAAGAUUCUUUCAUGUUUAAAUUCCUCAUACACACCCUUUCUCUCAGAGCACAGCUGGCUUCAGUACCAGAUUUCAGGGUCCUGGCUCUGUCUUAGAGGAGUAGAAUCAUAUUCAGCAGAUCCUGCAUAUUCCUGGAAGGGGCUUUCUGACCACAUGAUCUUCAGGGUGACACAUGGACAAGAAACAGAUCUUCUUCUUAAUCCACUAUCCUCCGUGGAGACAGACACCGUCAAGGACAAGCACCUGGAUCAUCUCCUCCCUGCAAAGAGAUACAGGCUGGUGGGAAAGCUGCUGACCAAAAAGGUCACAGGAUCCCUCCUCUCUGCAAGUGUCUCGAGGCCAAAGACAGGCUGGUGGGAAAACUCUGACCAGCAAGGCCAUAUGUUCCCCCUCCCCUACCUAAAACCCCAAAUAAAAACCCUUCCUUUUAGCUUUUCGGGGAGUUUGGGAUUUCAGCGUUAGCUGCCCUCUCUCCUUGCUCAGCGCUGUCCAAAAAUAAAAUUCC
Molecule: long non-coding RNA, 841 nt
Filed under: Equus caballus (horse)
Lineage: Eukaryota; Metazoa; Chordata; Mammalia; Perissodactyla; Equidae
Description: lncRNA (ENSECAG00000031713.3)
Source: RNAcentral